Molecule: ribosomal RNA, 373 nt
Filed under: uncultured bacterium
Lineage: Bacteria
Description: bacterial SSU rRNA
Rfam family: Bacterial small subunit ribosomal RNA
Source: RNAcentral
CAGCAGCCGCGGUAAUACGUAGGGGGCAAGCGUUAUCCGGAUUUACUGGGUGUAAAGGGAGCGUAGACGGUGUGGCAAGUCUGAUGUGAAAGGCAUGGGCUCAACCUGUGGACUGCAUUGGAAACUGUCAUACUUGAGUGCCGGAGGGGUAAGCGGAAUUCCUAGUGUAGCGGUGAAAUGCGUAGAUAUUAGGAGGAACACCAGUGGCGAAGGCGGCUUACCGGACGGUAACUGACGUUGAGGCUCGAAAGCGUGGGGAGCAAACAGGAUUAGAUACCCUGGUAGUCCACGCCGUAAACGAUGACUGCUAGGUGUCGGGUAGCAAAGCUAUUCGGUGCCGCAGCUAACGCAAUAAGCAGUCCACCUGGGGAGU